This 241-nucleotide ribosomal RNA is filed under the name uncultured bacterium. RNAcentral describes it as "partial 16S ribosomal RNA". It matches the Rfam family "Bacterial small subunit ribosomal RNA", at positions 15 to 236 of the family's 1533-position model. The record is from RNAcentral.
GAUCAUGGCUCAGGAUGAACGCUAGCUACAGGCUUAACACAUGCAAGUCGAACGAAGCUGCUUAACUGAUCUUCUUCGGAAUUGACGUUUUGUAGACUGAGUGGCGGACGGGUGAGUAACGCGUGGGUAACCUGCCCUGUACAGGGGGAUAACAGUCAGAAAUGACUGCUAAUACCGCAUAAGACCACAGCACCGCAUGGUGCAGGGGUAAAAACUCCGGUGGUACAGGAUGGACCCGCGU